GGUAAAUGAUCUGGAGUGUGUUUGCAUAUUGAUCAGAUGCUUCAGUGCUCUGAGAGUGUUUAUAGUGCUGUGAGUUUAACACUUCAUCACUGACACACACAACAAUCUUCAUCAACAUGACCUUCAUCAUCAUCUUCAUCUGGACUCUCACAGCGUUUGCUCAAGAGUGUAGAGGACAGAUCACCGUCACUCAGAGUCCCUCAAUGACAGCAGCUCAACCAGGAGAAACUGUCAAAAUCAACUGUAGAACCAGCACAGAUGUGCAUGGUGGUGAUCGUUUAUUCUGGUACUUACAGAAACCUGGAGACGCUCCUAAACUCCUGAUUCGUUAUGCAAAAUAUCUUGAGUCAGGAACUCCAUCUAGAUUCAGUGGCAGUGGAUCUAACAGUGAUUUCACUCUGACCAUCAGUGGAGUCCAGACUGAAGAUGCUGGACAUUAUUACUGUCAGAGUUUUCAUUGCAGAUCAAGUGGUUCUUAUUGUUUGGGUGGUUAUGUGUUUUCGCACAGUGAUAAAGAGUCGUACAAAAACCUCUGUCAGUCAGAGUCACAGUGACUGAACUGAUUCUGC
Molecule: non-coding RNA, 569 nt
Organism: Labeo rohita (rohu)
Lineage: Eukaryota; Metazoa; Chordata; Actinopteri; Cypriniformes; Cyprinidae
Source: the annotation of a RefSeq genome assembly